This 372-nucleotide ribosomal RNA is filed under the name uncultured organism. RNAcentral's name for it is "bacterial SSU rRNA". It matches the Rfam family "Bacterial small subunit ribosomal RNA", at positions 526 to 896 of the family's 1533-position model. The record is from RNAcentral.
CGUAGGGGCGAGCGUUGUCCGGAAUUAUUGGGCGUAAAGAGCGUGUAGGCGGCUCGGUAAGUCCGCCGUGAAAACCCGGGGCUCAACCCCGGGCUUGCGGUGGAUACUGUCGGGCUAGAGGAUGGUAGAGGCGAGUGGAAUUCCCGGUGUAGCGGUGAAAUGCGCAGAUAUCGGGAGGAACACCAGUAGCGAAGGCGGCUCGCUGGGCCAUUCCUGACGCUGAGACGCGAAAGCGUGGGGAGCGAACAGGAUUAGAUACCCUGGUAGUCCACGCCGUAAACGAUGAACACUAGGUGUGGGGGGGAGUCGAAUCCCUCCGUGCCGCAGCCAACGCGAUAAGUGUUCCGCCUGGGGAGUACGGCCGCAAGGCUA